CAACAAUUGGGACCCUCUUUCAAAAACCAACUGGCCCCGGAGGAUUCAUGUGUGGAGUCUCAGCCAUGCAAACACUAUCGUGAAUUAGUUCAAACAGAUGCCUUUCAAUAACACAGCUGCGGUAUCAGAACACGGAAGCAGGGUUUGCGAGCCCCGGCACUGUUGACUUUUGGGCUGGAGAAUUCUUUGAAGUGGGGAGCUGUUCUGGGCACUGUGAGACACUCAGCAGCCGCUCUGGCCUCUCCACCUUUAAUUGCAGUGGCUCAAAGUGUCUCUAGAUAUUGACAGACAUCCCCUCGAGGGCAUCCUCCUCCCCAGGUGUGGUUUGCUGCCCAGUGAUUUGGUCAAUUGUCACCUGUCCAAAAGCAGUACCAGAAAUGGAACUCACGACCUUGUGUUUGCCAGGCAGGUGUCUUCAAGCAGAUAUAUUCUACAUCUUCUCCCAGAUUUUAUGAUUGUGUUGAUCGGAACUGCUCAUCUUUCAUUGCAAGAAGACUAAAGUGGUCAACUUUCAUUUUCCUGGAAUGCAUUUAAAUCGGAGGCAAAGGAGCUGGACUUCCAUUCUCCCAGUUGCUCUUGGGCCCAGGGUAGCCUAGGGAGGAAUAGAAUCCUGGGUACUGCACAUCCAAGAAGUGUUCCAGUAACGCAGGGGCGUAUUCCAAGAAGAACUCUGCAGUUACCAACUAGUAGAGGUCAUGGGCAUCAGGUGUUGUGUCCCAGAGAAGUGGAAAAUGACUAAGUCAUCGUAUAUAUUAAUCCAGGGAAUAUCGGAUAAGCAAACACACUUCCCUGGAACUUGUGGCUUUGCAGUAACUUCAUGUUCCAAGUGUUGGGAAGUCUGUAAAUGUAGACCUGUUUCCUGGAGUCCUAUCAGUAUGAAGAAUCUUGAGCCAUUUCUGAUGCAAUCUACCCGCUACUCAAAUCCCCCUCAUCUCUCCACUGGAAUUGGAUUCCAGAUAAAGAAGAUAUCAGUUCUUCCAUACAAGUGAAUGCAGGUUGCUCUCGGGAUUUCCUGAUAUCUUUUUCCUCAUCUUUUCUGGAACACGUUGACUGACCAUCUUUUGGCAUUUGAGGAAGAGCUAACUGAUGUGUGCAUCCUUAAUCUUUAUUUAUUCUUUUUAUUUUAAAGAGAGUAGUAAAUGAGAAACAAACAAAAUAAUA
Chinchilla lanigera (long-tailed chinchilla) is the source of this 1161-nucleotide long non-coding RNA. RefSeq lists it as uncharacterized. Lineage: Eukaryota; Metazoa; Chordata; Mammalia; Rodentia; Chinchillidae. The transcript has 7 exons. The record is from RefSeq and is a predicted model, not a curated record.